GGAUAGCUCAGUCGGUAGAGCAGGGGAUUGAAAAUCCCCGUGUCCUUGGUUCGAUUCCGACGUUCG
Molecule: transfer RNA, 66 nt
Filed under: Klebsiella sp.
Lineage: Bacteria; Pseudomonadati; Pseudomonadota; Gammaproteobacteria; Enterobacterales; Enterobacteriaceae
Description: tRNA-Phe
Rfam family: tRNA
About the family: Transfer RNA (tRNA) molecules are approximately 80 nucleotides in length. Their secondary structure includes four short double-helical elements and three loops (D, anti-codon, and T loops).
Source: RNAcentral